Molecule: ribosomal RNA, 819 nt
Filed under: uncultured eukaryote
Lineage: Eukaryota
Description: SSU rRNA
Rfam family: Eukaryotic small subunit ribosomal RNA
Source: RNAcentral
CGGUGUUUAACUGGCGUGAUGUGGGACGUCCUACCGGUGGGCUUACCCUCGCGAGGGGCGGCCCAACUAAUAUCCCGUCGCGGUGCUCUUUACUGAGUGUCGAGUCGGGCCGGUACUUUUACUUUGAACAAAUUAGAGUGCUUAAAGCAGGCUAUCCUCGCCUGAAUACUGCGUGCAUGGAAUAAUGGAAUAGGACCUCGGUUCUAUUUUGUUGGUUUUCGGAACCCCGAGGUAAUGAUUAAUAUGGACAGAUGGGGGCAUUCGUAUUGCGACGUUAGAGGUGAAAUUCUUGGAUCGUCGCAAGACGGACAGAAGCGAAAGCAUUUGCCAAAAAUGUUUUCAUUAAUCAAGAACAAAAGUUAGAGGUUCGAAGGCGAUCAGAUACCGCCCUAGUUCUAACCAUAAACGAUGCCAGCUAGCGAUCCGCCGAAGUUCUUCCGAUGACUCGGAGGGCAGCUUCCGGGAAACCAAAGCUUUUGGGUUCCGGGGGAAGUAUGGUUGCAAAGGUGAAACUUAAAGGAAUUGACGGAAGGGCACCACCAGGAGUGGAGCCUGCGGCUUAAUUUGACUCAACACGGGAAACCUCACCAGGCCCAGACACCGGAAGGAUUGACAGAUUGAUAGCUCUUUCUUGAUUCGGUGGGUGGUGGUGCAUGGCCGUUCUUAGUUGGUGGAGCGAUUUGUCUGGUUAAUUCCGAUAACGAACGAGACUCUAGCCUGCUAAAUAGGCGUACCUUAUGGUAUCGCGAAGGCCCCCGGCUUCGGCCGGUGGGUUUUUACUACCAACGUACAAACAAAUCUUCUUAGAGGGACAGGCGG